UCGGUUAAACAUACAAAUUAAAAAUUAGUAUUAUUAUUAUUAGCUUCAAAUCAAAUAAAUCAAAUAUGGGCUCAUUCAUUCAUACACUCUUAACCAUAAUAUUUUAUUAUUUCAACACAAUAAACAACAUUAUAGAAUCCCGUGAGCUUAGCUUAGUUGGUAGGGAUAUUGCAUAUUAUAUGCAGGAGCUGGGGUUCGAACCCCGGAUACUCCACUUCUCCACAAUUAUAUUGUGUAAGCUCUAGCCACUAGCCUACUUAACCAAAAAAAAAAAAACAACACUACAGAAAAGUUAAAAAUGACACGAAAGAAAACAAAAAACUGCUCCUAACAAUCGAAGGAAGGCAGCACCAUUUAAGGCUUUUCU
Molecule: long non-coding RNA, 367 nt
Filed under: Medicago truncatula (barrel medic)
Lineage: Eukaryota; Viridiplantae; Streptophyta; Magnoliopsida; Fabales; Fabaceae
Description: long non-coding RNA (MTRU_LNC001430)
Source: RNAcentral